Folsomia candida is the source of this 876-nucleotide long non-coding RNA. RefSeq lists it as uncharacterized. The transcript has 2 exons. NCBI's taxonomy places the organism in Eukaryota, Metazoa, Arthropoda, Collembola, Entomobryomorpha, Isotomidae. The record is from RefSeq and is a predicted model, not a curated record.
UUAAAUAGCGGAAAUUUACAUUUUAAAAAUGUAUACAAACCUUCGUUCAUUUACCUAACGCUGCUGCGCGUUUUUCUACUUUUAGAAUAAAGUUGGAAAAAAUUCAUCCGGUGGCAAAUUCAGCUAAAAUUUGUGGCAAAUUUCAGCUUAUUCGGUGGUGCAUUAAAUUUAACCCAAUAUUUUGUAGGAAUUAAAAGUUAGGAUAUUUCGAUAACCAAGGUUCCCGAAGGUACAUAUUAGAGACAAACCGAUUUUUUAAAGUUUUAGACAUAUUAUUUACCAAGGUACACCUUUCAAUCAUUUGUAAUGUGAUUAGAUUAGAUUUGAUUUGAUUUAAGUGCCUUUAUAGUUUUGACGCCGACUGUAUGCAAGCUUACCAGUAGGCACAACGACUCACUUAUCAGAGUCUAUAUAAACUUGCAUGGCAUUGAUUACUUGAUAUCAGUCUGGCGUAAAAUAUCGUCUCAAGAGCAUCAAAGAAGCAGUAUCGUCUUCACCUAAAUUAAAGCAUUUUUUACCGGAAAGUUGAACAUGAUUUCCCGAACCAGGAUCCUCGUCGCAUUUUUGUUGGCUCUGCUAAUUUUUCAAUGCGCAAUUGGGAUGUCCGAGUCGGCCACGUGGUGGGAAGCCACUAAAGAAGUGUGUGCUUACGUAGGCCCAAAAUUAGUCUUUGUGGGCACCAUAAUGGGUUUGGUUGCGGCAUGAAGUUUUUUAAAUUAAAAUUUUAUAAAUUAUUUAUGUAUUUCAAAAAUGCCAAAUGAUUAUGUUAAUAAGAAAAAAACGCAUGUAUUUUAUGUUGGUUAUCCGACCGAAGUCAAUCUUUAAAAGUAUUUAUUAUAAAUUAUUGGAAUAAAUUGUGAAUUAUGUAGAAAUAAA